This 394-nucleotide long non-coding RNA is filed under the name Pan troglodytes (chimpanzee). RNAcentral's name for it is "long non-coding RNA NONPTRT007642". The record is from RNAcentral. Lineage: Eukaryota; Metazoa; Chordata; Mammalia; Primates; Hominidae.
UCUAAAUCCAAAAACUCCAAAUGUCCACCAGCUCCAGUCACAUUGGAGAUACAGGUGUGGUUUGCUCCUAAGACCCACCCAGCACACGUGAGAUGGGGAGACCUGGAUUGCAUCCCCAUGUCUGUCCCAGUGGAGAUAUCAUUGGAAAAGCUGCAGUGAUCUCUAUAAAAAUCUCAACCACCCGCUCCCGUGUCUCCUCUCAAGAAAGGGAGAAUCCUCCAGCCUUCUGUGCCUGCAUGCUGAGAACCCAUAGAGAGGAGCAUCCCUGGAGAAUCCCAGCUUGCAGCCAUCUUCCCUCAAGCGCAUUUCCAGUGUCCAGCCUGGCUUUCUGAUCAUUUUUGCUUUAGGAAGGCCUCCGACCAUGGCACUCUGUUUCCCAUUUCAUAUAUUUUUU